GAUGAACGCUGGCGGCGUGCCUAAUACAUGCAAGUCGAGCGAAUGGAUUAAGAGCUUGCUCUUAUGAAGUUAGCGGCGGACGGGUGAGUAACACGUGGGUAACCUGCCCAUAAGACUGGGAUAACUCCGGGAAACCGGGGCUAAUACCGGAUAACAUUUUGAACCGCAUGGUUCGAAAUUGAAAGGCGGCUUCGGCUGUCACUUAUGGAUGGACCCGCGUCGCAUUAGCUAGUUGGUGAGGUAACGGCUCACCAAGGCAACGAUGCGUAGCCGACCUGAGAGGGUGAUCGGCCACACUGGAACUGAGGAACGGCCCAGACUCCUACGGGAGGCAGCAGUAGGGAAUCUUCCGCAAUGGACGAAAGUCUGACGGAGCAACGCCGCGUGAGUGAUGAAGGCUCUCGGGUCGUAAAACUCUGUUGUUAGGGAAGAACAAGUGCUAGUUGAAUAAGCUGGCACCUUGACGGUACCUAACCAGAAAGCCACGGCUAACUACGUGCCAGCAGCCGCCGUAA
This 515-nucleotide ribosomal RNA is filed under the name uncultured bacterium. Its description in RNAcentral is "partial 16S ribosomal RNA". It matches the Rfam family "Bacterial small subunit ribosomal RNA", at positions 28 to 523 of the family's 1533-position model. The record is from RNAcentral.